Molecule: non-coding RNA, 140 nt
Organism: Gorilla gorilla gorilla (western lowland gorilla)
Lineage: Eukaryota; Metazoa; Chordata; Mammalia; Primates; Hominidae
Rfam family: Metazoan signal recognition particle RNA
About the family: The signal recognition particle (SRP) is a universally conserved ribonucleoprotein.
Source: Rfam
GCCAGGUAUGGUGGCUCAUGCCUGUGGUCCCAGCUACUCAGGAGGCUGAGGUGGGAGGAUUGCUUGAGCCUGGGAGGUCAAGGCUGCAGUGAACAGCCACUGCACUCCAGCCUAGGUGACAAAGCAAGACCCUGUCUCAA